This 459-nucleotide ribosomal RNA is filed under the name uncultured bacterium. Its description in RNAcentral is "partial 16S ribosomal RNA". It matches the Rfam family "Bacterial small subunit ribosomal RNA", at positions 28 to 523 of the family's 1533-position model. The record is from RNAcentral.
GAUGAACGCUGGCGGCGUGCCUAAUACAUGCAAGUCGAGCGGAAAGGCCUCUUCGGAGGUACUCGAGCGGCGGACGGCUGAGUAACGCGUAGGAACGUACCCCAAACUGAGGGAUAACUGCUCGAAAGAGUAGCUAAUACCGCAUGUGCUCUACGGAGUAAAGCUUCGGCGGUAUGGGUACGGCCUGCGUAAGAAUAGCUUGUUGGUAAGGUAAUGGCUUACCAAGGCGACGAUCUUUAGCUGGUCUGAGAGGAUGAUCAGCCAGACUGGGACUGAGACACGGCCCAGACUCCUACGGGAGGCAGCAGUAGGGAAUUUUCCACAAUGGGCGAAAGCCUGAUGGAGCAACGCCGCGUGCAGGAUGAAUGCCUUCGGGUUGUAAACUGCUUUUAUAAGUGAAGAAUAUGACGGUAACUUAUGAAUAAGGAUCGGCUAACUCCGUGCCAGCAGCCGCCGUAA